This 2040-nucleotide long non-coding RNA is filed under the name Homo sapiens (human). RNAcentral describes it as "HSALNT0268960". Lineage: Eukaryota; Metazoa; Chordata; Mammalia; Primates; Hominidae. The record is from RNAcentral.
UGCAAAGCCAGUGCUCUCAACUUCUAUCCAGAAGCACAAAAUCAGAUGCAAACUGAAACCAAAUAGGUACACAGAAUGAAUGGAUCCAGCUGGGGGCAAUAAAGGGAGGGUUAUAAAACCGGAAAGCGGAUGCCCCAUAUAAAGGGAUAGUCCCUGUUUGGCUCCAACUGAUCAAUCAUUUCUAAAAAGAAUGGGCACAUCGCAGAGCCAUGUCUUUGGUUUUCAAAGAGAGGCAGAAAUCCUGCAUUUUUACAUACGAAUUUCCUGAUUUUUAAGUGCAAGCUAUAAGUCCAUCAAAACAGUUCUGGUUUUCAAGCCAACCUUGUAAGACCACAGGGCUAUGGCCUGUGCUCUUCUCUAAGUCCUCUUGGUAAAUCACAGAAGUGGCUCAGCCCGUUUGUAAAAGCCACUGAAGAUCUUCCCAUCUACUUCAGAGACUGACAACAUGAUACAAGCCCUCAAGUGAGUUACAGCGAAGGUGACCAACCCAUCUUCAACUGCCUGGAACUUUCCUGAUUUCAAAAUGGUGAAAAUUAAAUGCCAAUCAAAUGGCAUUGAGAUUAGACGCAGAGAAAAGGAAAACAAGGACACUUCAUUUUGGUAGUGAACAUAACAAGAGAAGAGAUCAACUAAAUUUUGAAGCGGUGACCCUUGAAUGUUUCUAGAAGGUGAGAUGCGACUUGGCUCUGUGUUGUUUGUAUUACAUGAGGAGUCUAUCAAAGAGUGUCUGGACAUCUUGGUGACCAGCAUAAAUGUCUUCCUCUAAAGUCAUUUGAAAUGCUUCACAGAAGAUAGCAAGAUUUGGAAGAAGAGGCAAAACAUUUCCUGUAAAUACCAUCGCUGGGAUGAAUUCUCACUCUCCUGUCCCUCCAUCAAACAGAAAUCUAUAUUGUGCCUUGAGUUGAGCUCCAGAGAAAUUAUCAAUAUUCACACAUCUGGCACAAAUCUGUUGGAAGAAAAAAAAACCAUCAUGCCAUCUGUAUUUCUUCAAUCGUUUUAUAGCACAGCUCCAGUCUCUGGCCAUCAUUUUGUCACUCGGUCUUGUAAAUAUAAAGUUAUAUUACUUUUUGGCUUGUUUGAGGACACCGUUCAUCAUAAGGGGAGGAUGAAGAGAUGAUGUCACUGCCGGGAAAAAAAAAAACAAAACACAACAACUUCGCCUUUCUCAAUCCCCCACCUUCCCCAGAGUGUGGAGGAGCCAAAUUUCAUCUAGUUUGGCACAGUUGUAGGAAUUAACAUGACUGAAAUGUAUGCCAGAUUUCAAAACAAUUUCUAACAGUUUCUGUGAGACCGUGUAAGCAACUGAAAAUUGACAUGUUGUGUUGUGCCCGAGUCAGCCAACUGCUGUCACUGCAUAAUUAGAUUUUCCUGCAUGAGAGGAAAAAGUGUUCCCUUAAAAAAUUAUGAAAUAAAGCAGAAGCUAAUAUAAAAUACAAGUGGGCCCGUUAUUCACAUAGAGGUAGCCUUCCGCCAAAGAAUGACUUUGGACACACACACACGUGCACGCACACACACUCACACACACACAACUCCAGGAGAGGCUGAUGGCCCUGGAUUUCUGCGCUUUACAUGCAAGAAAUGCUCUUUGCAAAGGGAAGAGGAUUUACGGCACAGGCCAGAUGGAAGUAGGCCCACUUGGCUGCCCAAGGAAUGGCUGAAACCCAGAAGCAAGAACAGAUUUGGAGCUAAUGAAUGUGCGGUUCCUUCCUUCUGAUAUGGAAUAAUAGAUGUGGCAGAGUAUGCCAGGUGCCCCCAAUACUUAUUCUCCCCUUGUCCAACAGUAACAGUAGUUUUUGUUUGGCACAAAGGAGCCCAGCUAAAGGCUAUAUUCCCCAGGCUCCCCUGCACCUCGAUAUAACCAUAUAACUAAGUUCUGGCGAAUGAGGUGUGAGAGGAAGUGGAAGUUUCCAGAUUCCAUGUCGUGUCCUUAACAGGAAAGGAGGGGUUCCCUCCGCUUUCUCCCCUCCCGUCUUCCUGAGGGUGGGAGCGCAGGCAUCUUUGUCCAGGAGGAUGAGAUCUAUACCAUGUGGACAAGAGCUG